Molecule: non-coding RNA, 244 nt
Filed under: Lacticaseibacillus rhamnosus
Lineage: Bacteria; Bacillati; Bacillota; Bacilli; Lactobacillales; Lactobacillaceae
Description: Lactobacillus rhamnosus T-box
Rfam family: T-box leader
About the family: Uncharged tRNA acts as the effector for transcription antitermination of genes in the T-box leader family. T-boxes are found upstream of many aminoacyl-tRNA synthetase genes and some amino acid biosynthetic genes usually in Gram-positive bacteria.
Source: RNAcentral
UGAAAUGCGGAAAGAUGAGUAGCUGUUCAUUUUUUGUUUAGAGAGUGUCCAUUUUGGUGAAAGGACAUCUAAAAAUGCCAGCGAAUAUGGUCUUGGUGAUGCAGGUGUGCCGAGCAAUGGCAAAGCACACAUGGGGACGCCCAUUAUUGCGUUAGGUCUCACAGUGAAUACUGUCGGACUGAUUGAGGAAAGUUGUGUGAGCAGCUUUCAAACCAAGGUGGUACCACGGUAAGCCGUCCUUGGC